CCUACGGGCGGCAGCAGUGAGGAAUAUUGGUCAAUGGACGAGAGUCUGAACCAGCCAAGUCGCGUGAAGGAUGACUGCCCUAUGGGUUGUAAACUUCUUUUAUAAAGGAAUAAAACGAGGCACGUGUGCCUUUUUGCAUGUACUUUAUGAAUAAGAAUCGGCUAACUCCGUGCCAGCAGCCGCGGUAAUACGGAGGAUCCGAGCGUUAUCCGGAUUUAUUGGGUUUAAAGGGAGCGUAGAUGGGUUUUUAAGUCAGUUGUGAAAGUUUGCGGCUCAACCGUAAAAUUGCAAUUGAAACUGGCAGUCUUGAGUACAGUUGAGGUAGGCGGAAUUCGUGGUGUAGCGGUGAAAUGCUUAGAUAGCACGAAGAACCCCGAUUGCGAAGGCAGCUUACUAAACUGUGACUGACAUUGAUGCUCGAAAGUGUGGGGAUCAAACAGGAUUAGAUACCCUUGUAGUC
Molecule: ribosomal RNA, 460 nt
Filed under: uncultured bacterium
Lineage: Bacteria
Description: partial 16S ribosomal RNA
Rfam family: Bacterial small subunit ribosomal RNA
Source: RNAcentral